CGGGGUCAGCAUCAGCAGGACAUUUUACACUCGGUGUCUCCUUAGAACCACCUCCCUUUGCAUCAUGUUCCACGUGGGCUGAUAAGUCUUCCCAAUCGCUUUUAUGCUGGUCACUCUCAAGUAAUUCUGUUGGAUUUCCCUUCUUUUCUGGAGUUGCACGAAGGCAUGCUUCUUUUUCUAUGUGUUCCACCUGGCUUUGCUGGCUCU
This 207-nucleotide long non-coding RNA is filed under the name Gallus gallus (chicken). Lineage: Eukaryota; Metazoa; Chordata; Aves; Galliformes; Phasianidae. The record is from RNAcentral.